RNAcentral lists this long non-coding RNA (979 nucleotides) under Homo sapiens (human). RNAcentral's name for it is "HSALNT0256323". Lineage: Eukaryota; Metazoa; Chordata; Mammalia; Primates; Hominidae. The record is from RNAcentral.
GGACCACGCCCCUCACACCCCUUCAAGGUGUCUCCCCCAUUACAGGUGCAACUCAGGUCCUGCGCCCCAACUCCUGCCCGAAGCGCGUUAUCGGUCUACCCCUGGUAGCCCCGGUCCGCGCUGUCGCGGUGCCGCACCUGCGCCCGGCCGGUGGCCCGCAGCACGCGCACCAUGGCUGCCGCCAGCUCCUCCUUGGCCUGCGCAGGCAGCGCGGGCUCCAGGGCCCCGCAGAGGCGCGCAUAGUGGAAGCCUCUUGAGCAACCCCUGUGGGGAAGGGAAUGUCAGCUGGACAGAAAUCUGUGCUCCUUCCUCAGCUCCUUCCCUCCCAAGACAUCCCAGAGGAUCUACUGGUCUUGGAGGACCAACACCAAGCUCAGGCUGUAUUAGCAGGAAUAAUAAGAGCAAUCAGCAGCUCCUAAUUCUUUGUUCAUUUGUUUUUUUAAGACAGGGUCUCGUGCUGUCGCCCAGGCUGGAGUACAGUGGUGCGAUCAUGGCUCACUGCAGCCUCAAAUUUCUGGGCUCAAGUGAUCCUCUUGCCUCAGCUGGGACUACAGGUGAAUGUUACCAUGUAGAAUUGGGGACUUGCUAUGUUGCCCAGGCUGGUCUUGAACUCCUGGUCUCAAGCAAUCCUUCUGCUUCAGCCUCCCAAAAUGUUGGGAUUACAGGUGUGAACCACUGUGCCUGGCCCAAACUCCCAUUUGUAAAGCAUCAAUCAUAUAUUCUCCUAUACUAUUCAUUUAUUUAUUUAAGAGAUGAAGUCUCCCCAUGUUGCUUAGGCUGGUGUUGAACUCCUGGCCUCAAGCAGUGCUCUCUGCUCAGCCUCCCGAGUAGCUUGGACUAUAGCUGCGCACUGCCCUGCCUGGCUCCUGCACUCUCUAUUGGCUUCCCAUAAACAACCCCUAGAGAAAGGUUAUUUCAUUAGCUUCAUUUGACAGACUGGGACUCUGAGGCCCAAAGAGGGUCAGCAACCUGCUCCAGA